RNAcentral lists this transfer RNA (67 nucleotides) under Theretra latreillii lucasii. RNAcentral describes it as "tRNA-Leu". Lineage: Eukaryota; Metazoa; Arthropoda; Insecta; Lepidoptera; Sphingidae. The record is from RNAcentral.
ACUAUUUUGGCAGAGAAAUGUAAUGAUUUUAGAAGUCAUCAACGUAUAAUUAAUUAUAUAUAUAGUA